RNAcentral lists this long non-coding RNA (477 nucleotides) under Phoenix dactylifera (date palm). RNAcentral's name for it is "long non-coding RNA (PDAC_LNC022673)". Lineage: Eukaryota; Viridiplantae; Streptophyta; Magnoliopsida; Arecales; Arecaceae. The record is from RNAcentral.
GAGGGGCUUACCUACGUCCGGCAAAUCUCGCGACGGUGGAGGCUUCCGGAGGGAAGAAACGGACGGCAACACUCGGAUAGGGAAAACAGAGCAACUGGGGAGGGGGUUUUAAGAGAGGAAGGUAGGUUUUGGGCGGCUUCGCUUGAUUGUGGCGGCACGAAGGCCGCAAGAGAUGAGGAAGAUGGAUGAAGGUGGCACGGCGGUGGAUCUUAGAAAGGGGGUGGGGGAAUUUAAAGGGCUUUGGAUGAACUCAACUGUUCGUUCGGGCCUCGGGGAGCUCGCCGACGUCCUUAUUCCACAACCACAAAGGCACGCGGCCAACUACGAUGCAAAGGUAUGUUAAAGAGCGCCCACGCGUGCUCCACAUAACUAAUUUGGACCAAGGUACGCCGAAGAGCGCCCACGCGGCCAACUACGAUACAAAGGUAUGCUGAAGAGCGCCCACACGGGCUCUACAGAACUAAUUUGGACCAAGGU